UCUUGAUCGCGGCGUAAGUACGGAGUAUCUUCUUUGGAUAAUCGAAUGUUGAGGUCAACCUUAACUGAGAAUGGAGGAAGGUCAUCAAAUUGAUCAAAAUCUUCUGACUUGUUCGAAAUGUCCUCAACCUCAACGAUUUUUCUUUUCCCUGAAAGAACUAUGUGGUGUUUUGGCUCAUCUUCUGACUUAUUAGCGCCCUUCUUGGGUUUGCCUGACAUGUCCUUCACAUAGAAAACCUGAGUCACAUCCUAGGCUAAAAUGAAUUGUUUUUCUCUAUAUCCAAUCUUGUUAAGGUCCACUAUUGUCAUCCCAUACCGGUCUAUCGUUAC
This 329-nucleotide long non-coding RNA is filed under the name Setaria viridis. RNAcentral's name for it is "long non-coding RNA (SVIR_LNC001761)". The record is from RNAcentral. Lineage: Eukaryota; Viridiplantae; Streptophyta; Magnoliopsida; Poales; Poaceae.